CCCACCUGAACUGAUCUGCACCUGCACUGAGCUACAUGUAUAUCUGAUUUUCACAAUGAAAGGACAGCCACAGGGCAGGCUGGAAGACAAGAACACAGCACCACGGUGUCCCACGUGGUGAAGAGCUGAACCUCCCACCAGGAAGCAAGUGAGUCAGCCAUCUUAGAAGGAGGUUCUCUGCUUCCUUCAAUCCUUCCUCGCUAGCCAGUAUCCUGACUACAACACAUCUAAGCUGCUCCAAAAUUCCUGUGCCCGAGUAAUUCUGAACGUCAUUGUUUGAAGCUCAAGGAUUCUAAGUCUUGGCAUAACUUUACAAAGCAAAUAAUAACCAAUCCACUGAGGGGAUUUGCAUACACGUUUGGUAUGCACAGAUGUCUCUGGAAAGAACUUUAAUGGUUAUCUCUAGGGAGAAAGUCUGGAAAGCUCAUACCCAGAGAUGGAAGAAGACUCUCUUUUCAUUAUAUUAUGUUUUAUGUUCAUGUUUUUCCUUUUGCUAAUUUUUAUCAUUUCAAAAAAAAAUGUAGAGCACAUUUCACAGAAGAGCCACGUAAACUACA
Peromyscus eremicus (cactus mouse) is the source of this 557-nucleotide long non-coding RNA. RefSeq lists it as uncharacterized. Lineage: Eukaryota; Metazoa; Chordata; Mammalia; Rodentia; Cricetidae. The record is from RefSeq and is a predicted model, not a curated record. The transcript is spliced from 2 exons.